AUUUUUGAGAGUGGUCGGUCUACGCUCGUUUGAUUAUUCUUGAUGUUUUCUCAUGUUUUUCCUUCUCUCCCCUUGUGUGUUGUUUUUUUUUUUUCGUUUCUGUACCUCUGAGUUUGCCUCCCCGAACUUUGUUAUUUCCCUU
Molecule: non-coding RNA, 142 nt
Filed under: Protocruzia adhaerens
Lineage: Eukaryota; Ciliophora; Spirotrichea
Source: RNAcentral